CCGAACAGCAUGGAGUGAGUGCCAGGCUGACACAACUAAUAGGUGUUGCCUUUUACCCACUCUGUGAACCUGCAAUGAUCCCUGUGAGAUGGAAACUAAAGAUUUCAUCCCUCCUGGACACAUCACUUUGGAGGAUGUUUCAAGAAGGGUAGAAGCACCUCAGUGGAAGAAAGAGUGGUUUACUGAAGUAAAUGGAACCUUUCAAGAGGACACCUUUAUAAUGCCAGAGAUAGGGAGAAAACGCAGAAAGUACUCAGACUGAAAAAGAUGUUCAGAAAGAAAAAAAAAAUUCUCUUCCAGGAAAUAAGUUGCUGAAAAGAAAGGAAAAGAAAGAAAAAGGAAAGAAAAGACUCAAGAACUGGUCUUAUUCAUGAAUGAAAGAGGAGGGAUUCAAGGAAACCAUAGCACAGAAGA
RNAcentral lists this long non-coding RNA (414 nucleotides) under Corvus moneduloides (New Caledonian crow). Its description in RNAcentral is "lncRNA (ENSCMUG00000019681.1)". Lineage: Eukaryota; Metazoa; Chordata; Aves; Passeriformes; Corvidae. The record is from RNAcentral.